Symphalangus syndactylus (siamang) is the source of this 7128-nucleotide long non-coding RNA. RefSeq lists it as uncharacterized. Lineage: Eukaryota; Metazoa; Chordata; Mammalia; Primates; Hylobatidae. The record is from RefSeq and is a predicted model, not a curated record.
UCCUAGGCUACAAACUGUACAGCAUGUUACUGUACUGAGUAUUGUAAGCAAUUGUAACACAACGUUAAGUGUUUAUGUAUCUAAACGUAGAAAGAAAUAGCAUAAACACAAUAUGAAACAUUUAAAUAUUCUACACCUGUGUAGGAGAGCUCCAUUAUAAUCUUCUAAGAUCAUCAUAUAUGCAGUUGUUGAUUGAAACAUCAUUAUGUGGUACAGGACUGUACCUAUGUACAGGCAAGGAGGAAAGAGAUAGAAGGAUUAUUUUAAGAAAUUGGUUCACACCACUGUGGGAGCUGGCAAGUUCAAAAUCGAUCAGGCAAGCAAGCAGGCUGGAGAUCAGGUAGGAAAUGUGGCAGUCUUGAGAUUGAAGGCUGGAAAUGUAGGCAGGAUUUCUAUGUUGCAGUCUCUAGGCAGAGAUCCCUUCUUGUUAGGAAACCUUAGUCUUCACUCUGAAAGUCUUCAACUGAUUUGACAAGGCCCAUCCACAUUAUGGAGGAUAAUCUACUUUACUCACUAUCAACUGAUUAUAAAUAUUAAUCACAUCUACAAAGUACCUUCACAGGAACAUCUAGACUCAUGCUUGACCAAACAACGGGUCACUAUAGUCUAGCCAAGUUGACACAAAAAUUUCACCCUCAAAGCCACAACUCUGCCAGCUCUCAGAAAUCCCCUAUGAUAGACGAAACAAGAAGGCUCUUGGCUUUGAAAAUGCCAAAUUCUUUGGCCGCAUUUCCAGACUCUGGCAAGGGGGAGACGCAUUCUGGGCAAGAGAAUUACCAGUUUGUAAAAUGCUGACAAGAUGCAAACCAGCCAGGAAUGGCCUUCUAACUGGGUGAUUCACACACGCAGGGCAGGGCUACCUGGGCAGCACCUUCUCAGUGCAUUCCUGCACCAAGGCAUAGUCCCCCUGCCCAUGCACCCUGCACCUCCUUGGCAGUGGGAGAAAACCUAACCACAAACGAUGAAAAGGAGCUCUUGUAUCAUUAGGUGGGACUCUUGCGUCACCUGCCACACCUGGCUAGACCUGGACAAAUGGAUUCCAUUGUCAGGUUGUUGUAAAUGUUUUUCCAGCCCCAAGCCAUGCAUCCUUUCUGCUUAGUUGCAUUUUGGUGUCAUGGGAAAGCACUCACAUACCCUCACACACCCCUUCCUUAUGUGGGCCAAGGAGAAGUGCCUGGAAUAGGCUGUGGGAGCCCUGGCCUGGGUGCCUCUCCACAGCCUGGCACUGGCUGAAGCUGUGGCGACACUGCUGAUUUAACGUGGUGACUGAGUCACACUCCAGCCUAAGAAACCACGCCAUCCUUUUAAUAUUGUAUUUUUCCUUUUUAAACAAGGAAUCUGUUGUCUUCUCCAGACAUGGAACAUCUUUCUACUUUGGAGGUUGCUCACACCCUCAUGACUGGAGUCGACUGCAGGCUCAGUGCAGGUUGUUUUAUUUUUCAUUCCCUCAUCGGUGAAUGCUGGAACCACCCACAGAGUCCUUGUGACAGUUCCAUAACAUACUGGAGACAAAGUGCAUGACAUAUAGUGUGUGCUGAACAUCUUCUUCCUUCCCCUUCCCUAUCAUCUAUGUAACAUUCUUGCUGCAAUGUAACGCCCCAUGUAUUGUCCCAUUGGCUGAUAAGACAGCUCCUUGAGAGAAGCACUGAUGGUCCCUGGCUGGAAGAAGCGGAAACUGGGAGUCAGUUUGCCAUCCUCCUGGAUUUGGGAUGGAUGGUAGGAGCACCUGCUUUGUUCCCAAAUUCAUGCAUUAGCUAGCACACUUGUGCCUUUUUGUUUUGCAAUAUCCCACAGAGUAGGCGAAACAGGGGAAAUGGUUGUCAGGGAAUAUAACAACAACUAACCAGGACAGGCGGGCAAGAGAGAGCUCUGGGGUUGCUGUGGGUGAGGCCUGAGCACAAAACAGGGCCACAGAAGAGGCCAGAGAUACAAAGUUCAGGGCCAGGAUUGGAGUGGGUGUUGCAGGGCAGCUGAGAAGAGGAGUUAGGAACUGAGCCAAUGGACAGAGGGGAAAAAGAAAAGGCCACCUUACCCAGGAGGAACUAAUUGUAUGAGAUUCUAUAAACAUGUCACCAGGAGAGAGGAAGAUGGAUGGGAGAGGAGCUGUGUCAGAAGAAAGGCAGCUCCUCCACGCUGGACACUGUGUCUAAGCCACCAUUGUCUCUUGCCUGGAAUAUUACAACAGCCUUUCAACGGUCUGCCUGCCUUCAACCUUGACACAACCUUGGCCUCUACAGAGUAGCCAGAGAGACUGUAAAGACAUGAGGCAGCUGCUCCUCUGCACAAAACCCUGCAGUGGCUCUUCCCCAAGAGAACUCAAAGUCCUCACAGAGGCCUUGCAAUGCUCUCUGGGGUCCUUAUGAUCUGCCCUUCCCGUGUACUCACUCUACUCCAGCCAAACUAGUCACUGGGCUCGCCACAUGCACACAGGCACAUGCCCGCUGUCUGAAGGCCUCUGCCCUGGCCACUCCUCCACCAGAAAUGCUCUUUCCUCAAACAUCCACUGGGUGAACUCCAUUGCCUCCUUCAACCCUGAUCAUAUCCAAUAUUCUCAAUGAAGUCUACCCAGCACAUUGGAUUUCCUACUGCAAAUUUCCCCUGCCCCGCAGUCUCAAUUUCCCUUACCUGCUCUUCUUUCUCUUUUUCAUCCAUACAUAUUUUUAAAAUUUUUGUUUACUUUUUAUCAUCUGUAUUUCAUUACUAGAAUGUAAAAGCCUCACAAAGGCAGGAAUUUUUAUCUGCUUUGUUCUUGACUGUCUCUCAAGAUCUGAGAAUGGUCCCUGGCCGAUAGUGGGUGCUCCAUAAACUUGAUUAAGGAAUGAAUGAAUGAAUGAGCCAAUGAAUAAAAAUAGCCUUGGAAUCAGAUAGAUCCUGGUUGUUUUUGCUUUUGUUUUAUGUAAUUUCAACUUUAUUUUGGAUUCGAGGGGUAUGUGUGUGCAGGUUUGUUACCUGGGUAUAUUGAGUGAUGCUGAGGUUUGGAGUAUUGAGAAUAGGACCCAAUAGAUAGCUUAGAUAGCUUUUAAGUCCUUGUGCCCUCCCUCUCUCCUUUCACUCUCUAAUGGUCCCAGUGUCUAUUGUUGCCACUUUAUUCCCAUUUGUACCCAAUGUUUAGCUCCCACUUAUAAGUGAGAAUAUGUAGUAUUUGGUUUUCUGUUUCUACGUUCAUUCACUUAGGGUAAUGGCCUCCAGCUGCAUCCGUGUUACGGCAAAGGACAUUCUUUCUUUCUUUUUGUUGUUGGGUAGUAUUCCGCGCUGUAGAUAUACCACAUUUUCUUUAUCCAAUCCACUGCUGAUGGGCACCUAGGUUGAUUCCAUGCCUUUGCUAUUGUGAAUAGGGUUCCGAUGAACAUACAAGUGCUUGUGUCUUUUUGUAGACCCUGGUUUAAAUCCCUACUCUCCACUACCUUUGUGUUUCUCCACUUGGGGAGGUAUAUUAAACUUUCCUCAGUGGUGGGAUUGCUACCUGCAGUUUUCUGACAGUCAGCAUGUGUUUUGCUAAAGAUUCCACCUUAAGGAUAGAGUCUGGAGGUGAAAUAGCAUUAGAAGGAGUUAUCAGGGCUUUGUCUUCAGAUUUAACAUCGACAGCAAGUUUGCUGCUACAAAACUGCUGUUUUGUAAAUAGCAAAUUGUUAUUUUCCUUGAAUUUGUGCUAAUAUCUGGCCUCUGGAAAAUCUUUGAUAAAAAGCAGGAAAAGGAGCCCCUGAUACUGGUUUCCUGGGGAAUCCUUCCCCCCGGAAGGAUUAUACUCUCCUUAUACUAUCCAGCCAGAGUCACCUCUUUGGACUGUCGCUGGAAUCCUGCAGACCAAAGAAAGCAAAAGGGUUUAAAAUGGGGGCACAUGGAGAGAGGCUUAAGUAACCUGGGAGGAAUUCUGCAGAAAGAAAGUGACUGUUGUCCUUCCUUCUGAAGCUGCUUUUUGUUGCCCAGUCUGGCUGGAAGCAGCAGGGUCUGAACCUCAGCCAAGGAACAAAGGGCUUUUUUGGCUAAGAGAAGUAUAAUUGUGGUCAUGAUGGGCCAAAACAGGAGGGAAGCAUUUUAUGGGGUAACAGGACCUCCCAAAUGUCAGAAUUGGUGCCUGCAGGAUGUAAUUUAAUUCUGUAAGCAGUUACUAAGCACCUGCUUUGUUCCAGGCAUGCUCACAUGAUUAAGAGACAAUCCCAGGGCCCAGAAAAUUCCCAAAUUACUAGAGGACUCAUUCAUUCCAUUUAUUCAUUUAUUUAUUUAAUAUCUUACUUCUUUGGCCAUAUAAUUCAGUAAUUAAGAACAAAGCCUUGAAAUAAGAGUCAGGUUUAUUCAUUCAUUCAAUAAAGAUUUAUUCAGUGCCUACUUAGGACCCAACACUGCUCACAGCCUUAAGAGAAAAAGGCAGAAAAAAUAUAGAUCCCUACCCUCAAGGACUUUGAUUGGUCGGGGCUUGUGGAGGGAGAGAGACAAGGAACAAUAAGCAUAACAAAUAAAUUGCAUAGUAUGUUAGAAGCUGGCCAGUGCUAUGGGAAAAAGGAAACACAGAGCAGUGCCAGGGGCCCGGGAAUUUCAAAUGCCAUGUUCAAUAAGGCUGUCAAGGUGAACCUCACUGAGAAGCCUACAGGUUAGCAGAGACCAGGAGCAGUGAGAGAGUUGGGCGGGCUUGUGGACGUGGAGUAGGGGAGAGAAAGCAAUGCAGAGACUGGGACAGCUAUAUACAAGGCCCUAAAGACAGGCCAUGCCUGUUCUGUCCAGGGCCAGUGAGGAAGCCCAGGAGGUAGGCAAAGAGUGGGAGGGGAGAGUAGUAAGAGGGUUAAGGCUGGGGCAGAGUAUGCAGGGCCAUAAGGGCCAUGGUAGGAUUUCUGCCUUUAUUGAGUGACAUGAGUAGCCCUGGCAGGGUUUUAAAAGACAAGUGCCAGGAUCUAUCUCAUAUUUUAACAGAAUCACUCUUGCGACUAUGGUGGGAAUAGACCUUAAGUGUAUAAAGCUGGGGGCAGGGAGACCUACUAGAUGGCCGUUGCAGCAAUCCUGGGGAGAGGUGACAGCAGUUCAGGCCAAAAUAGUAAUACCGGAGGUGAUGAGAAGUGGCUGAAUCCUGAAUAUGUUUUGAAAGCUGAAACAAUUUUCUGUGAAUUGACUCGAGGGACUCCAAGAGAAAAGAACGAGUUGGUGAUAAAUUGUAAGGUUAGUGGCCUGAGCCAAUCAGGACUAUUAAAGAGGUCCAUUAAAGUGUGAUCUUGGACAAGUCUCUAAACUUCCAUAUUCUUCUUUGUAAAACGGAGAAUAAUGAUAUCAACAUUAUAGAGCUGUCAUGAGUAGUAAAAGAGAUAAUACAGCAAAUCAUUUGGCUUGUGAAGAGGGCACAUAAUAAAGGUAGAUAACCAACUAAUUAAUCUUAUAGCAUGUUCAAGGCACCAGAACAACACUUUGAGGGAUUUUGACAAAGAUGGAACAUACAUGAGGUGGAAUAGGGGGUGACUGAAAUGAAUAAGGAGACUGCAGUUUUAUUCUCAUGACUACUCCUCACCACUUUAUUACCUUUAGUAAGUCUCUUAGCCUCACUCUACCUCUAUUUCUCAAUAUACAAAACAAGAGGGAAGUUGAUCAACAUCAGGGAUCUGCAAGCAAAUCCACCAUGUGUUUUUGCGAAUAAAGUUUUAUUGCAGCGCAGUCAUGCUCAUUUUUAUAUGUAUUGUCUAUGACAACUCUUAUGCUACAACAGCAUCGUUAAAUAGUUAUGACAGAGACUGUACAGCCUCCAGAGGUUUAAAUUACAUCUGGCCAAGCACAGAAAAAGUUUGCAGGCUCCGGUCUAGAGUGUUGUUUUUCACAUAGUUGUUAGAUACAGACAUGACAUUGCUAGGCAUAGAUGUGCCCAUAGGCAGAGAGCGUGAAAUCUUUUCUUCAGAUGAAGUCUUAGCCAGAAGCCUAAUAUAUAACAGAAUAAGUGUGGCUCUGGCCUGGCUGAUGAGUUGAAGGGGUAGGAGAGAUAUGAACGAUGUCGAUUCUAUCUCAGGCUCUGACCACUCUCACAUCCUGGGUCAACCCUGAGGCACCUUCUCUUCAUCCUUGGGAUGAAACACAGCUUGAAGGACAGGAAUCUUAGAUCAUCUCUAGGGGGCUAUUCCAGGCCUCUACUUAUCAAGGAGACCAUGCCAAAUAAACUGUAUAGAUUGGAUAACACUUAUGUUAAAAGUCUUAAAACUGGUUUUUCAGUUUUGAGAAAUGAACUGAGAAGUUAAUUUUAUACUGGGUAAGGUCAAAAUUCACUUCUUGUUGUGGCAGACAUCUUCAACUUCGUGAGCUAGAGAGGGGUAGCAUUUCCACAUUCCUGGCUUCUCCCUAAUAACCAAUUAGGAUAUUAAGUGUCUGCCUAUUACUUUGUCUUAGUAUAAUGGAACCCCUGAACAAUUUUCAACUUCAAUCGAUUUUGACUUUUCUAAUAAAAUUCUACCAGGAAGAAUCUUCCCUACUCUAACUUCUACUAUUUUUCUUCAGACUCAGAUACCUGUGUGUUAUAGAUUGAAUGUUGUGUCCCCUCGAAAUUCAUAUGUUGAAGCCCUAAUUCCCAAUGUGAUGGUAUUUGGAGAUGGACCCUUUGGGAAGUAAUUAGAGUUAGAUGAUUUCAUGAGGGUGGGGUCUUUAUGUUGGGUUUAGUGUCCUUAUUAGAAGAAUCAGCAGAGAGCUUGCUUCCUUUUCCUCUUUCUCUUUGCCAUGUGAGGACACAGCGAAGAUGGCUGUCUGCACCCCAGGAAGAGAGACUUCACCAAAUCAGCCGUCACCCUGAUUAUGGACUUCCAGCCUCCAGAACGAAUAGAGCUAUCUCUGGGAAGGAGCUGCCCAGCCAGGGACUACACUUCCCUUGCCUUUUUGCAUCAUUGAGGGACCAACUGACUGGUCUUGCACUGGAAUAUGAAUAUAAGUGAUGUAUGUCCAGGUGAUGGUGAUUAAGAUGUGGAUGUUGCUUUUCUACUCUCUUGUUUCCUUUCUACUGGCUGGAGGCAGAGAACUCUGAGAUCUUAGGAAAAUUGCCGAACCCCAAGAUGGGGAGAGUCUGGGUCUCUGAAUCACUAUUUGAAGGGAAGUUGUCUAUGAAGCAAAAACACCCCCAUUAGAUUCUCAACCGAGAAGGAAAUAAACUUUUCUUACAUUAAGCCACCAAAA